GUCACGAAAGGAGGAGUCACGGUGUCCUUUAUAAAACAGCGUUCAUCAGUUUCUGAUCGUGAACAGUUCUUUACGCCACCUCGUUGCUACUCUUCUCGUCAUCUGUUUUGUUGUUGUUGAGACCUAUAGGCUCGAUAGGACUUCAUCAGGAGAAGACCCGCGAAUUGCAUUCCAAUUUCCAAGAUGGCGCACAAGAUUAUUUUCAUUUCCAUAUUGCUGUGCUGUGUUUUCGUUGAUGUCAUGUCUCAAAACGGCAUAAACAAUGCUGAACAUUUCGAAGAUAACUAUCCUCUGGAUGAAGCUUCGGUACAACUGUGUCUCCAAAUGAACUUUCCUGUGGAAUUCUGCACAACUAAACAUGGUGCACAAAAGGAGCAAUCCUUCGAGAAAAGGUUGUUCUAACCGGGUCCAAUUGGUUUCCAUCGUUGAUUUGAGAUUACAGAACAAAUGUUGUUUGUAUGAUGCACAGGACGCAUUUUUUUUUUCGAUGGUAUACCCUGAUUGUAAAACAACACAGAGUAAAAAUAAAGAGCGAAUAUCAACAAU
This is a long non-coding RNA of Lytechinus variegatus (green sea urchin), 546 nucleotides long. RefSeq lists it as uncharacterized. The transcript has 4 exons. The record is from RefSeq and is a predicted model, not a curated record. Lineage: Eukaryota; Metazoa; Echinodermata; Echinoidea; Temnopleuroida; Toxopneustidae.